RNAcentral lists this unclassified non-coding RNA (89 nucleotides) under Pseudomonas sp. NFACC45. Lineage: Bacteria; Pseudomonadati; Pseudomonadota; Gammaproteobacteria; Pseudomonadales; Pseudomonadaceae. The record is from RNAcentral.
UGUGGGAGCGAGCCUGCUCGCGAUGACGGUGGCACAUUCAACAUCAAUGUAGUUGACCCACCGCUAUCGCGAGCAGGCUCGCUCCCACA